AGGACGAACGCUGGCGGCGUGCUUAACACAUGCAAGUCGAGCGGUAAGGCCUUUCGGGGUACACGAGCGGCGAACGGGUGAGUAACACGUGGGUGAUCCGCCCUGCGCUCUGGGAUAAGCCUGGGAAACUGGGUCUAAUACCGGAUAUGACUGCAUGCCGCAUGGUGUGUGGUGGAAAGCUUUAUGUGGUGCAGGAUGGGCCCGCGGCCUAUCAGCUUGUUGGUGGGGUAAUGGCCUACCAAGGCGACGACGGGUAGCCGACCUGAGAGGGUGACCGGCCACACUGGGACUGAGACACGGCCCAGACUCCUACGGGAGGCAGCAGUGGGGAAUAUUGCACAAUGGGCGGAAGCCUGAUGCAGCGACGCCGCGUGAGGGAUGGAAGGCCUUGGGUUGUAAACCUCUUUACAGCAGGACGAAGCGCAAGUGACGUACCUGCAGAAGAAGCACCGGCUAACUACGUGCCAGCAGCCGACGGUAAUCGUGA
RNAcentral lists this ribosomal RNA (487 nucleotides) under uncultured soil bacterium. RNAcentral's name for it is "bacterial SSU rRNA". It matches the Rfam family "Bacterial small subunit ribosomal RNA", at positions 26 to 530 of the family's 1533-position model. The record is from RNAcentral.